RNAcentral lists this ribosomal RNA (253 nucleotides) under uncultured bacterium. RNAcentral's name for it is "partial 16S ribosomal RNA". It matches the Rfam family "Bacterial small subunit ribosomal RNA", at positions 524 to 776 of the family's 1533-position model. The record is from RNAcentral.
UACGAAGGGGGCUAGCGUUGCUCGGAAUCACUGGGCGUAAAGCGCACGUAGGCGGAUUGCUAAGUCAGGUGUGAAAUCCUGGAGCUCAACUCCAGAACUGCCCUUGAUACUGGCGGUCUCGAGUCCGGGAGAGGUGAGUGGAACUGCGAGUGUAGAGGUGAAAUUCGUAGAUAUUCGCAAGAACAUCAGUGGCGAAGGCGGCUCACUGGCCCGGUACUGACGCUGAGGUGCGAAAGCGUGGGGAGCAAACAGG